GUAGUAUUCCCGCCGUCCCAAAAUUCUUGUCUUUCAUUUGUUUAGAUACGGAUGUAUCUAACACUAAAAUGUAACUAGAUACAUCCAUAUUUAGACAAAUUUAAGGCAAGAAUUUUGGGACGGAGGCAGUACAAA
Non-coding RNA from Triticum aestivum (bread wheat), 135 nucleotides. The record is from Rfam. Lineage: Eukaryota; Viridiplantae; Streptophyta; Magnoliopsida; Poales; Poaceae.